UUUAAUGGCCGCAGUAUUUUGACUGUGCAAAGGUAGCAUAAUCAAUAGUUUCUUAAUUAGAAGCUGGAAUGAAAGGUUGAACGAGAAAAUUACUGUCUCUUUAAUAAAAUUAUAAAAUUUUAUUUUUAAGUUAAAAAGCUUAAAUGUACUUAAAAGACGAGAAGACCCUAUAGAUUUUUAUAAAUUUUUGUAUAGUAUUUUUUUAUUAAUAAAUUUAAUUUUAUAUAAAAUUUUAUUUAGUUGGGGUGAUUAAAAAAUUUAUAUAACUUUUUAUUAUUAAUUACAUAUAUUUAUGAUUUAUUGAUCCAUUAUUUAUGAUUAUAAGAUUAAAUUACCUUAGGGAUAACAGCGUAAUUUUUUUUUAGAGUUCAAAUCGAUAAAAAAGUUUGCGACCUCGAUGUUGGAUUAAAAUUUAUUUUUGGUGUAGAAGCUUUAAUAAUUAGGUCUGUUCGACCUUUGAAAUUUUACAUGAUCUGAGUUUAAACCGGUGUAAGCCAGGUUGGUUUCUAUCUUUAAAAUUAAUAUAAUAUUUUAGUACGAAAGGACCAAAUAUUUUUAAUAUUUAAUUGUAUAUUUGAUUAUUAUU
This 586-nucleotide ribosomal RNA is filed under the name Apimela sp. ZMUN 10030869. Its description in RNAcentral is "partial 16S ribosomal RNA". The stretch from base 342 to 501 matches the Rfam family "Bacterial large subunit ribosomal RNA", at positions 2473 to 2632 of the family's 2925-position model. Lineage: Eukaryota; Metazoa; Arthropoda; Insecta; Coleoptera; Staphylinidae. The record is from RNAcentral.